Long non-coding RNA from Felis catus (domestic cat), 1038 nucleotides. RefSeq lists it as uncharacterized. The record is from RefSeq and is a predicted model, not a curated record. The transcript has 2 exons. NCBI's taxonomy places the organism in Eukaryota, Metazoa, Chordata, Mammalia, Carnivora, Felidae.
UGUCUUUCACAUGGGCUGUAAUUUAGUUCAAUUCAGAACUGCAGAUAGUACAGCUUUCACAGGAGCAAGGAUGCCUGAGCACAAGUGGCUGAGUUCCGAGUGACUUUAUGAAGCACUUUCCUACCUCCCUCCGUCAUGAAAACGGGGAUUCUGCACCUGCAUCAGGGACAGUCUGGCAAAAGCCUCUGCUAUGCCUCCGGGGACAAGGAACUAGCACAAAUAACCAUUUUGAAAUUGGAUCUUGGCAAAAUUAGCAACAAAUCCAUAAAGGAAACUGAAAGCAAUUGGAUCUCCAUCUUCAGUGGAGUCCCACAAAAGUUGGAGAAAUACAUUGUCUCCAAAGAGGAUACAGCUGUACCCUAAAAUUAGGACAUAAUUAAGGUAUGAAAUUUCUUUUAGUUCAUUUCUUUAGUUUGGUUGCAAUGCUUUGUUCUUUCCAUUACAGAUAAUUUUUUCUUUUUUUUUCCCCCAGUCUCUCUCUCUCUCUUCCUUUUCUUCCUCUCAUUAGCAAAUGUCUUUUAUAAUUGAUCUUGUUUACUGUCCUUUCAUCAAAUAUAUGCCACAUCACUCAGGCGAGCCAUCUGACAGGGCACCUAAAUACACAUUAGAAAGUACUGGGAGCCAUGCGUCACUUUGACUGUCUCAUCAGGGCAGUUAUAAUAAGCAUCUUGAUGCCACUGAAGGCAAUGCUGUAUUCAGAUAAUAGCCUUCAUUUUUACCCUUUUUAAAUAUAAAAGUAAACCUUGAAGCAUUUGAAGGACCUAACUAAACAACACACAUGUGGAAACAGACCAGGGAGCCUUUGAAAAAAAAAAUCUCUAUGUAAAAUCUGUAAAGAAUCUUAGCAGUUUUUCAAAAAGACCUCCAGAUACAUGAUGCCUGUGAAUAAGACACAUGACCACCUUAAUUAUGAGAAUCAUUAUUGUAGGCCCUCUGGGCCAUUUUUGCUCCCAGCAGGAUUUUUCUUUCCUCAUCCAGAGUUUCCGGGGAUGUCUACUAUUCUCUGUGUGUAAAGCACAUUUAAGUGGUCCCACAAAG